Molecule: ribosomal RNA, 1150 nt
Filed under: Geotrichum candidum
Lineage: Eukaryota; Fungi; Ascomycota; Dipodascomycetes; Dipodascales; Dipodascaceae
Description: eukaryotic LSU rRNA
Rfam family: 5.8S ribosomal RNA (bases 501-649)
Source: RNAcentral
UUUGAAAAGAAAAUUGGACAAAGUUUUCGUUGGGGAACCUGGGGGAAGGUCAUUGUUUUGUUCCUUUAGAGACAGGCCCGCGAACCAAUUAUAUCAUUGUUUUUUUCAAGUGAGAGGGGACCUUGUCUCCCCCGGGAAAGGGGUAUUCGUUUUGGUUUCUGGGAUGUGUUCCUGUUUUUCGCCUAUCCCCCUUGGUGUGAGUGGAUGAGCGGUGCCAUGUCCAAACAACACAACAAGAUCUUGGAAGUAAAAGUCGUAACAAGGUUUCCGUAGGUGAACCUGCGGAAGGAUCAUUACUGUGAUUUAGUACUACACUGCGUGAGCGGAACGAAAACAACAACACCUAAAAUGUGGAAUAUAGCAUAUAGUCGACAAGAGUGGAAGUAAGAGCGUAACAAGGUUUCCGUAGGUGAACCUGCGGAAGGAUCAUUAAGAAUUGAUAAUAUUUGUGAAAUUUACACAGCAAACAAUAAUCAUACAAUCAAAACAAAAAUAAUCAAAACUUUUAACAAUGGAUCUCUUGGUUCUCGUAUCGAUGAAGAACGCAGCGAAACGCGAUAUUUCUUGUGAAUUGCAAAAGUGAAUCAUCAGUUUUUGAACGCACAUUGCACUUUGGGGUAUCCCCCAAAGUAUACUUGUUUGAGCGUUGUUUCUCUCUUGGAAUUGCAUUGCUUUUCUAAAAUUUCGAAUCAAAUUCGUUUGAAAAACAACACUAUUCAACCUCAGAUCAAGUAGGAUUAGCCAGCUCGAACUUAAGCAUAUCAUAGACGGAGGAAGAAGCUGGCCGAGCGAACUAGACUUUUUUUCAGGGACGCUUGGCGGCCGAGAGCGAGUGUUGCGAGACAACAAAAAGCUCGACCUCAAAUCAGGUAGGAAUACCCGCUGAACUUAAGCAUAUCAAUAAGCCGGAGGAAAGAAAACCGAAGAUCGGCCCUCGGCGGCCCUUUCAUCCGCGUUGUUGGGUGAAAAUUUUGGCUUCACAACUGGUUGGGGGCCAAACCAGCGGGGGAAUUCCCGUGGAUUGUGUUUGUUUCGAUCGAACGACCGUGCAACUCAAGGCAAGCACGGCUUAGUCUCUUGCGCUUAUUUUUGCCACCCCGGGUCGCGCGACACUCCGCUGAGAUUUAAAUAUAUAAAAACGGGAGAGAAA